GAGUUUGAUCAUGGUUCAGAUUGAACGCUGGCGGCAUGCCUAACACAUGCAAGUCGAACGGCAGCACAGUGUGUAGCAAUACACAUGGGUGGCGAGUGGCGGACGGGUGAGUAAUACAUGGGAAUCUGCCCAGUAGCGGGGGACAACCCGGAGAAAUCCGGGCUAAUACCGCAUACGCCCUACGGGGGAAAGCGGGGGACCGAAAGGCCUCGCACUAUUGGAUGAGCCCAUGUCGGAUUAGCUAGUUGGUAGGGUAACGGCCUACCAAGGCGACGAUCCGUAGCUGGUCUGAGAGGACGAUCAGCCACACCGGAACUGAGACACGGUCCGGACUCCUACGGGAGGCAGCAGUGGGGAAUAUUGGACAAUGGGGGAAACCCUGAUCCAGCAAUGCCGCGUGUGUGAAGAAGGCCUGCGGGUUGUAAAGCACUUUCGGUGGGACAAAAAGCGCCGUGCCAACACCACGGUUUUUGAUUUAACCCAUAGAAGAAGCACCGGCUAACUCUGUGCCAGCAGCCGCGGUAAUACAGAGGGUGCGAGCGUUAAUCGGAAUUACUGGGCGUA
RNAcentral lists this ribosomal RNA (564 nucleotides) under uncultured Gammaproteobacteria bacterium. RNAcentral's name for it is "bacterial SSU rRNA". It matches the Rfam family "Bacterial small subunit ribosomal RNA", at positions 9 to 562 of the family's 1533-position model. Lineage: Bacteria; Pseudomonadati; Pseudomonadota; Gammaproteobacteria. The record is from RNAcentral.